UGGGGAAUAUUGGACAAUGGGCGAAAGCCUGAUCCAGCCAUGCCGCGUGUGUGAAGAAGGUCUUCGGAUUGUAAAGCACUUUAAGUUGGGAGGAAGGGCAUUAACCUAAUACGUUAGUGUUUUGACGUUACCGACAGAAUAAGCACCGGCUAACUCUGUGCCAGCAGCCGCGGUAAUACAGAGGGUGCAAGCGUUAAUCGGAAUUACUGGGCGUAAAGCGCGCGUAGAUGGUUUGUUAAGUUGGAUGUGAAAUCCCCGGGCUCAACCUGGGAACUGCAUUCAAAACUGACUGACUAGAGUAUGGUAGAGGGUGGUGGAAUUUCCUGUGUAGCGGUGAAAUGCGUAGAUAUAGGAAGGAACACCAGUGGCGAAGGCGACCACCUGGACUAAUACUGACACUGAGGUGCGAAAGCGUGGGGAGCAAACA
RNAcentral lists this ribosomal RNA (427 nucleotides) under uncultured bacterium. RNAcentral describes it as "partial 16S ribosomal RNA". It matches the Rfam family "Bacterial small subunit ribosomal RNA", at positions 355 to 774 of the family's 1533-position model. The record is from RNAcentral.